RNAcentral lists this ribosomal RNA (561 nucleotides) under Pseudomonas aeruginosa. Its description in RNAcentral is "partial 23S ribosomal RNA". It matches the Rfam family "Bacterial large subunit ribosomal RNA", at positions 2259 to 2819 of the family's 2925-position model. Lineage: Bacteria; Pseudomonadati; Pseudomonadota; Gammaproteobacteria; Pseudomonadales; Pseudomonadaceae. The record is from RNAcentral.
UGGUGGGCAGUUUGACUGGGGCGGUCUCCUCCUAAAGAGUAACGGAGGAGUACGAAGGUGCGCUCAGACCGGUCGGAAAUCGGUCGCAGAGUAUAAAGGCAAAAGCGCGCUUGACUGCGAGACAGACACGUCGAGCAGGUACGAAAGUAGGUCUUAGUGAUCCGGUGGUUCUGUAUGGAAGGGCCAUCGCUCAACGGAUAAAAGGUACUCCGGGGAUAACAGGCUGAUACCGCCCAAGAGUUCAUAUCGACGGCGGUGUUUGGCACCUCGAUGUCGGCUCAUCACAUCCUGGGGCUGAAGCCGGUCCCAAGGGUAUGGCUGUUCGCCAUUUAAAGUGGUACGCGAGCUGGGUUUAGAACGUCGUGAGACAGUUCGGUCCCUAUCUGCCGUGGACGUUUGAGAUUUGAGAGGGGCUGCUCCUAGUACGAGAGGACCGGAGUGGACGAACCUCUGGUGUUCCGGUUGUCACGCCAGUGGCAUUGCCGGGUAGCUAUGUUCGGAAAAGAUAACCGCUGAAAGCAUCUAAGCGGGAAACUUGCCUCAAGAUGAGAUCUCACUGGG